UCAAGUAAUUAAGUGCAUGUGGUGGAUGCCUUGGCAGUCAGAGGCGAUGAAAGACGUGAUAGCCUGCGAAAAGCUCCGGGGAGGCGGCAAAUAUCCUUUGAUCCGGAGAUGUCUGAAUGGGGGAACCCACCUACUUUAAGGUAGGUAUUGCAACAUGAAUACAUAGUGUUGCAAGGCGAACGAGGGGAAGUGAAACAUCUCAGUACCCUUAGGAAAAGAAAUCAAUUGAGAUUCCCUCAGUAGCGGCGAGCGAACGGGGAUCAGCCCAUUAAGUUAUGUGUGUUUUAGUGGAACGCUCUGGGAAGUGCGAACGUAGAGGGUGAUAUUCCCGUACACGAAAGGGCACACAUAAUGAUGACGAGUAGGGCGAGGCACGUGAAACCUUGUCUGAAUAUGGGGGGACCAUCCUCCAAGGCUAAAUACUCCUGACUGACCGAUAGUGAACCAGUACCGUGAGGGAAAGGCGAAAAGAACCCCUGUGAGGGGAGUGAAAUAGAUCCUGAAACCGCAUGCAUACAAGCAGUGGGAGCACCUUCGUGGUGUGACUGCGUACCUUUUGUAUAAUGGGUCAGCGACUUAUAUUCAGUAGCGAGGUUAACCGUAUAGGGGAGCCGUAGAGAAAUCGAGUCUUAAUAGGGCGUUUAGUUGCUGGGUAUAGACCCGAAACCAGGCGAUCUAUCCAUGAGCAGGUUGAAGGUUGGGUAACACUAACUGGAGGACCGAACCCACUGUCGUUGAAAAGCCAGGGGAUGACUUGUGGAUAGGGGUGAAAGGCUAAUCAAGCCUGGUGAUAGCUGGUUCUCCCCGAAAGCUAUUUAGGUAGCGCCUCGGACGAAUACCAUAGGGGGUAGAGCACUGUUUCGGCUAGGGGGUCAUCCCGACUUACCAAACCGAUGCAAACUCCGAAUACCUAUGAGUACUAUCCGGGAGACAGACUGCGGGUGCUAACGUCCGUAGUCAAGAGGAAAACAAUCCAGACCGCCAGCUAAGGCCCCAAAAUCAUAGUUAAGUGGGAAACGAUGUGGGAAGGCAUAGACAGCUAGGAGGUUGGCUUAGAAGCAGCCACCCUUUAAAGAAAGCGUAAUAGCUCACUAGUCGAGUCGGCCUGCGCGGAAGAUGUAACGGGGCUAAAACUAUGUGCCGAAGCUGCGGAUGUAUACUUUGUAUACGUGGUAGGGGAGCGUUCUGUAAGCCGAUGAAGGUGUGUUGAGAAGCAUGCUGGAGGUAUCAGAAGUGCGAAUGCUGACGUGAGUAACGACAAAACGGGUGAAAAACCCGUUCGCCGAAAGACCAAGGGUUCCAGUCCAACGUUAAUCGGGGCUGGGUGAGUCGACCCCUAAGGCGAGGCCGAAAGGCGUAGUCGAUGGGAAAAUGGUUAAUAUUCCAUUACUUCUGUGUAAUGCGAUGAGAGGACGGAGAAGGCUAAAUCAGCCUGGCGUUGGUUGUCCAGGUGAAAGGAUGUAGGCAUGUAUCUUAGGCAAAUCCGGGGUACUCUAUGCUGAGAUCUGAUAGCAAGCUGUACUUGUACAGCGAAGUGGUUGAUGCCAUGCUUCCAGGAAAAGUCUCUAAGCUUCAGUUACACAGGAAUCGUACCCGAAACCGACACAGGUGGUCAGGUCGAGUAGACCAAGGCGCUUGAGAGAACUCUGCUGAAGGAACUAGGCAAAAUGGUACCGUAACUUCGGGAGAAGGUACGCUGUUGUUGGUGAUGGAACUCGCUUCCUGAGCUGACGACAGCCGCAGAAACCAGGCCGCUGCAACUGUUUAUUAAAAACAUAGCACUCUGCAAACACGAAAGUGGACGUAUAGGGUGUGAUGCCUGCCCGGUGCUGGAAGGUUAAUUGAUGGGGUUAGCGUAAGCGAAGCUCUUGAUCGAAGCCCCAGUAAACGGCGGCCGUAACUAUAACGGUCCUAAGGUAGCGAAAUUCCUUGUCGGGUAAGUUCCGACCUGCACGAAUGGCAUAAUGAUGGCGGCGCUGUCUCCAGCAGAGGCUCAGUGAAAUCGAAAUCGCUGUGAAGAUGCAGUGUACCCGCGGCUAGACGGAAAGACCCCGUGAACCUUUACUGCAGCUUGACACUGAACUUUGACCUUACUUGUGUAGGAUAGGUGGGAGGCUUUGAAGCUGGAACGCUAGUUCCAGUGGAGCCGUCCUUGAAAUACCACCCUGGUAAUGUUGAGGUUCUAACUCUGUCCCGUGAUCCGGGACGAGGACCGUGUCUGGUGGGUAGUUUGACUGGGGCGGUCUCCUCCUAAAGAGUAACGGAGGAGUACGAAGGUGCGCUCAGCGUGGUCGGAAAUCACGCGUAGAGUAUAAAGGCAAAAGCGCGCUUAACUGCGAGACCCACAAGUCGAGCAGGUACGAAAGUAGGUCUUAGUGAUCCGGUGGUUCUGUAUGGAAGGGCCAUCGCUCAACGGAUAAAAGGUACUCUGGGGAUAACAGGCUGAUACCGCCCAAGAGUUCAUAUCGACGGCGGUGUUUGGCACCUCGAUGUCGGCUCAUCUCAUCCUGGGGCUGAAGCAGGUCCCAAGGGCAUGGCUGUUCGCCAUUUAAAGAGGUACGCGAGCUGGGUUUAGAACGUCGUGAGACAGUUCGGUCCCUAUCUACCGUGGGCGCUGGAAAUUUGAGAGGAUCUGCUCCUAGUACGAGAGGACCAGAGUGGACGAACCUCUGGUGUACCGGUUGUGACGCCAGUCGCAUCGCCGGGUAGCUAUGUUCGGAAGGGAUAACCGCUGAAAGCAUCUAAGCGGGAAGCCUACCUCAAGAUAAGAUUUCCCUAGGACUUUAUGUCCUCUAAAGAGCCGUUCGAGACUAGGACGUUGAUAGGUUGGAUGUGGAAGCAUAGUGAUAUGUGAAGCUGACCAAUACUAAUUGCUCGUGAGGCUUGACUAU
This 2891-nucleotide ribosomal RNA is filed under the name Acinetobacter baumannii 1117819. RNAcentral's name for it is "bacterial LSU rRNA". It matches the Rfam family "Bacterial large subunit ribosomal RNA". The record is from RNAcentral. Lineage: Bacteria; Pseudomonadati; Pseudomonadota; Gammaproteobacteria; Moraxellales; Moraxellaceae.